CAGUGUGUGUGUUAGUGGAAGCGUCUGGAAAGGCGCGCGAUACAGGGUGACAGCCCCGUACACAAAAAUGCACAUAUUGUGAGCUCGAUGAGUAGGGCGGGACACGUGGUAUCCUGUCUGAAUAUGGGGGGACCAUCCUCCAAGGCUAAAUACUCCUGACUGACCGAUAGUGAACCAGUACCGUGAGGGAAAGGCGAAAAGAACCCCGGCGAGGGGAGUGAAAAAGAACCUGAAACCGUGUACGUACAAGCAGUGGGAGCCUCUUAAUGGGGUGACUGCGUACCUUUUGUAUAAUGGGUCAGCGACUUAUAUUCUGUAGCAAGGUUAACCGAAUAGGGGAGCCGAAGGGAAACCGAGUCUUAACUGGGCGUUAAGUUGCAGGGUAUAGACCCGAAACCCGGUGAUCUAGCCAUGGGCAGGUUGAAGGUUGGGUAACACUAACUGGAGGACCGAACCGACUAAUGUUGAAAAAUUAGCGGAUGACUUGUGGCUGGGGGUGAAAGGCCAAUCAAACCGGGAGAUAGCUGGUUCUCCCCGAAAGCUAUUUAGGUAGCGCCUCGUGAAUUCAUCUCCGGGGGUAGAGCACUGUUUCGGCAAGGGGGUCAUCCCGACUUACCAACCCGAUGCAAACUGCGAAUACCGGAGAA
This 647-nucleotide ribosomal RNA is filed under the name Escherichia coli O25b:H4-ST131. Its description in RNAcentral is "partial 23S ribosomal RNA". It matches the Rfam family "Bacterial large subunit ribosomal RNA", at positions 318 to 970 of the family's 2925-position model. The record is from RNAcentral. Lineage: Bacteria; Pseudomonadati; Pseudomonadota; Gammaproteobacteria; Enterobacterales; Enterobacteriaceae.